GUUCCUUGGAACAGGACGUCACAGAGGGUGAGAAUCCCGUGAGAUAAGCUUCCCAGUUCUAUGUAAAGUGCUUUCGAAGAGUCGAGUUGUUUGGGAAUGCAGCUCUAAGUGGGUGGUAAAUUCCAUCUAAAGCUAAAUAUUGGCGAGAGACCGAUAGCGAACAAGUACAGUGAUGGAAAGAUGAAAAGAACUUUGAAAAGAGAGUGAAAAAGUACGUGAAAUUGUUGAAAGGGAAGGGCUUGAGAUCAGACAUGGUAUUUUGUAAACCUUCUCUCUCGUGGAGGGGGCCCCUUGCAGUUUACUGGGCCAGCAUCAGUUUGGGCGGUAGGAUAAUGACUAAGGAAUGUGACUUGCCUUCGGGGAAGUGUUAUAGCCUUGGUUGAUACUGCCAGCCUAGACUGAGGACCGCGUCUUGACAAGGA
This 422-nucleotide ribosomal RNA is filed under the name Millerozyma farinosa. RNAcentral describes it as "partial large subunit ribosomal RNA". It matches the Rfam family "Eukaryotic large subunit ribosomal RNA", at positions 185 to 611 of the family's 3401-position model. Lineage: Eukaryota; Fungi; Ascomycota; Pichiomycetes; Serinales; Debaryomycetaceae. The record is from RNAcentral.